This 343-nucleotide ribosomal RNA is filed under the name uncultured bacterium. RNAcentral describes it as "bacterial SSU rRNA". It matches the Rfam family "Bacterial small subunit ribosomal RNA", at positions 335 to 669 of the family's 1533-position model. The record is from RNAcentral.
ACUCCGUACGGGAGGCAGCAGUGGGGAAUAUUGCACAAUGGGGGAAACCCUGAUGCAGCCAUGCCGCGUGUGUGAAGAAGGCCUUCGGGUUGUAAAGCACUUUCAGUAGGGAGGAAGGUAGUGUAGUUAACACCUGCACUAUUUGACGUUACCUACAGAAGAAGCACCGGCUAACUCCGUGCCAGCAGCCGCGGUAAUACGGAGGGUGCGAGCGUUAAUCGGAAUUACUGGGCGUAAAGCGCAUGCAGGCGGCCUGUUAAGUCAGAUGUGAAAGCCCGGGGCUUAACCUCGGAAUUGCAUUUGAAACUGGCAGGCUAGAGUCUUGUAGAGGGGGGUAGAAUUU